RNAcentral lists this ribosomal RNA (253 nucleotides) under uncultured bacterium. Its description in RNAcentral is "partial 16S ribosomal RNA". It matches the Rfam family "Bacterial small subunit ribosomal RNA", at positions 524 to 776 of the family's 1533-position model. The record is from RNAcentral.
UACGUAGGGUGCGAGCGUUAAUCGGAAUUACUGGGCGUAAAGCGUGCGCAGGCGGUUUUGUAAGCCAGAUGUGAAAUCCCCGGGCUUAACCUGGGAAUGGCAUUUGGGACUGCAAGGCUAGAGUGUGUCAGAGGGGGGUAGAAUUCCACGUGUAGCAGUGAAAUGCGUAGAGAUGUGGAGGAAUACCGAUGGCGAAGGCAGCCCCCUGGGAUAACACUGACGCUCAUGCACGAAAGCGUGGGGAGCAAACAGG